GACGAACGCUGGCGGCGUGCUUAACACAUGCAAGUCGAACGGAAAGGCCCUGCUUUUGUGGGGUGCUCGAGUGGCGAACGGGUGAGUAACACGUGAGUAACCUGCCCUUGACUUUGGGAUAACUUCAGGAAACUGGGGCUAAUACCGGAUAGGAGCUCCUGCUGCAUGGUGGGGGUUGGAAAGUUUCGGCGGUUGGGGAUGGACUCGCGGCUUAUCAGCUUGUUGGUGGGGUAGUGGCUUACCAAGGCUUUGACGGGUAGCCGGCCUGAGAGGGUGACCGGCCACAUUAGGACUGAGAUACGGCCCAGACGCCUAAUGGAGGCAACAGAGGGAGAUAUUGCACAAUGGGCGGAACCCUGAUGUAGCAACGCCGCGUGCUGGAAGACAGCCUUCGGGUUGGAAACCGCUUUCGCCUGUGACGAAGCGUGAGUGACGGUAAUGGAUAAAGAAGCACCGGCUAACUACGUG
RNAcentral lists this ribosomal RNA (468 nucleotides) under uncultured bacterium. Its description in RNAcentral is "partial 16S ribosomal RNA". It matches the Rfam family "Bacterial small subunit ribosomal RNA", at positions 28 to 507 of the family's 1533-position model. The record is from RNAcentral.